UUUCGUUUCAAAACCGCCAUUCCGAUUAAUCAACUUAAACCAGUUUUUGCUACGGUAAAAUUUGACCUAGUUUCAACUUGCUAGAACCGAGUUGUUUUCUUCCGCCGUUUGUUUUCGGUUUCUUUGUUCGGUUGUUUCUUUCUUUGCAACCAGAGUUCUUAAGUUGAACUAUCUGGUUCGAUCUCUUGUUCGAGUUUUACCUGUGCAUUAGAUGAGUACUUAUUGUAUGCUUGUUGUUUGUCUGCGAUAGAUUACCCGGAUUGCGCCGCCUGUUACUUCGAAUCUCUAGGACUCGCGGAUCAUCAGCAAGGCAAGUAACACUUUGAUCAUACCUUUUCUACAACCCAGUUUUAUUGCAUUAGAUCCAUCCUCACACAUUGCAUGAUUAGGAUCUAAUUAAAUUGUGGGAUGGGAAGUAGAUGAGGUAGUACCUAUUACCUGUUAUUAUGAAACCUUUGGGAGUUACUUCUACGUUUGCUUAUUAUGCCAUGCUAUGCUAGUAGACGUGGAUUGGGUGAGUGAUAUCCAUGACAGAUGUGAGAUUGAUAAUUUUAAUGGUUUAUCUAAGGUGGCAACUUAAACACACAUCUGGGUGGAUUGAGGCACCUGAUGUCUAUCAGGACUUGCCUGUUUUUCUUUUGGACCGCCACCCAGGCUCAAAGGGAUCAUAAGAUCUUUCAUGCUAAAUACUUACGUGUGCAGCCACAAGCCAUUAUGGGCUCUGGCAUAGUUGACUAAGUCGUGCGAACUCUUACAAGGUAGACUAGCAGAUGUAGGGGAAAGUAGGUGUACCGGUCUAUCCAUCGUAAGGUGCUAGCGCUUCUGAAAGACUGUGUCUCGGUCAUCCGUUUCUCCAACACCGGUAGUGCGAGAAAUCCAACGGAGGCGAUCGAGUCUUGUGGGGAAAAAUGCGCAAACCUCUGCAGAGUGUAACAAACUAACCAUGAUUAGCCAUGUCCCCGGUUAUGGACAAUCUUGAGUAUCUAGUGCUUGAAUAUCAUAUGAAUCUCAUCAUGUUACUUCUAAUUUAAUAUUGUCGGGUUAUUGAUGACUACUUUUAAUUGGGAUUGAGAAUGCUGUCAACCAUUCUCAAUGUUUAACAACCACCAUGAUAGUUAAAUAAAUUUAUUCCUUUGUAGUAGGGAAAAAUUGGCUUUACGCAAAACAGUAACCAUAGAGCUUUCCACCAGCCAAAUAUGCAUAUAGUAUAGCUGUUUCAUUCCAUUACUCUCUAUGUGUUACCUUGCCAGCAUAUUCCAUGUGCUGACCCGUUUCGGGCUGCAACGUUAAUGUUGCAGACUUUUCAGACGACGAUUAAGGUGCUUUUAGGUCGUGGUUCUAUACUCAGUGAUGCCGUUGGAGUUGAUGGACCCAUUUAUCUUCCAAGUCUUCCGCUAUUAUUGAUUUUAGAUGGCCUUAAGACAUAUUUAUGUAAUAAGUUCUCUUCGGAGACAUCGUUGUAAUAAGUGUGUGAUUGCCACUCUGCUAUAAAUCCUUCGAUGUACUGUGUGGUGUCAGCAUUACUGAUCUAGGGAUGACACCGAAGCACAGUAGACUUGAUCCAUUCGGGUCGGGUCGCCACAGAGAUGGUAUCAGAGCACACGCUGACUGUUGGACACGACCACUAAGUUAAAGCCAUAGAUCACUAUUCUCUCCUCAUUUUCUAACCCCUC
This 1673-nucleotide long non-coding RNA is filed under the name Triticum aestivum (bread wheat). RNAcentral describes it as "long non-coding RNA (TAES_LNC009762)". Lineage: Eukaryota; Viridiplantae; Streptophyta; Magnoliopsida; Poales; Poaceae. The record is from RNAcentral.